RNAcentral lists this ribosomal RNA (449 nucleotides) under uncultured bacterium. RNAcentral describes it as "partial 16S ribosomal RNA". It matches the Rfam family "Bacterial small subunit ribosomal RNA", at positions 354 to 796 of the family's 1533-position model. The record is from RNAcentral.
GUCGAGAAUCUUUCACAAUGGGGGCAACCCUGAUGGAGCGACGCCGCGUGGAGGAUAAGGUCUUCGGAUUGUAAACUCCUGUCAUGCGUGAACAAGGUUGCUUGGUUAAUACCUGGGCAAAUUGAUGGUAACGCAAGAGGAAGAGACGGCUAACUCUGUGCCAGCAGCCGCGGUAAUACAGAGGUCUCAAGCGUUGUUCGGAAUCACUGGGCGUAAAGGGUGCGUAGGUGGCGUGGUAAGUCAGAUGUGAAAGCCCGGGGCUACACCUCGGAACUGCAUCCGAUACUGCCAUGCUAGAGUACUGGAGAGGUGACUAGAAUUCUCGGUGUAGCAGUGAAAUGCGUAGAUAUCGAGAGGAAUACCAAAGGCGUAGGCAGGUCACUGGACAGUUACUGACACUGAGGCACGAAGGCCAGGGGAGCGAACGGGAUUAGAAACCCGGGUAGUCC